RNAcentral lists this ribosomal RNA (585 nucleotides) under uncultured bacterium. RNAcentral's name for it is "bacterial SSU rRNA". It matches the Rfam family "Bacterial small subunit ribosomal RNA", at positions 338 to 916 of the family's 1533-position model. The record is from RNAcentral.
CCUACGGGAGGCAGCAGUGGGGAAUUUUGGACAAUGGGCGAAAGCCUGAUCCAGCCAUUCCGCGUGAGUGAAGAAGGCCUUCGGGUUGUAAAGCUCUUUCGCAAGGGAAGAAAACUUAGAUACUAAUAUUAUCUGAGGUUGACGGUACCUUGAUAAGAAGCACCGGCUAACUACGUGCCAGCAGCCGCGGUAAUACGUAGGGUGCGAGCGUUAAUCGGAAUUACUGGGCGUAAAGCGUGCGCAGGCGGUUUUGUAAGUCAGAUGUGAAAUCCCCGAGCUCAACUUGGGAACUGCGUUUGAAACUACAAGACUAGAAUAUGUCAGAGGGGGGUAGAAUUCCACGUGUAGCAGUGAAAUGCGUAGAGAUGUGGAGGAAUACCAAUGGCGAAGGCAGCCCCCUGGGAUAAUAUUGACGCUCAUGCACGAAAGCGUGGGGAGCAAACAGGAUUAGAUACCCUGGUAGUCCACGCCCUAAACGAUGUCUACUAGUUGUUGGUGGAGUAAAAUCCAUGAGUAACGCAGCUAACGCGUGAAGUAGACCGCCUGGGGAGUCGGUCGCAAGAUUAAAACUUAAGGAAUUGACGG